UGGGAGCUGCUUCUGGCAGAUGCACCCAUCCUGCUGAAGAUGGGGCUUCCUGGCUGCUGAGAUAUAGUGACUGCCAAUUCCUUUUUC
Long non-coding RNA from Tyto alba (common barn owl), 87 nucleotides. RefSeq lists it as uncharacterized. The record is from RefSeq and is a predicted model, not a curated record. Lineage: Eukaryota; Metazoa; Chordata; Aves; Strigiformes; Tytonidae. The transcript is spliced from 4 exons.